CCUACGGGUGGCAGCAGUGGGGAAUAUUGCACAAUGGGGGAAACCCUGAUGCAGCGACGCCGCGUGAGUGAAGAAGUAUUUCGGUAUGUAAAGCUCUAUCAGCAGGGAAGAAAAUGACGGUACCUGACUAAGAAGCCCCGGCUAACUACGUGCCAGCAGCCGCGGUAAUACGUAGGGGGCAAGCGUUAUCCGGAUUUACUGGGUGUAAAGGGAGCGUAGACGGCCGGACAAGUCGGAAGUGAAAGCCCGGGGCUGAACCCCGGGACUGCUUUUGAAACUGGCGGGCUGGAGUGCGGGAGGGGUAAGCGGAAUUCCUAGUGUAGCGGUGAAAUGCGUAGAUAUUAGGAGGAACACCAGUGGCGAAGGCGGCUUACUGGACUGUAACUGACGUUGAGGCUCGAAAGCGUGGGGAGCAAACAGGAUUAGAUACCCGUGUAGUC
This 440-nucleotide ribosomal RNA is filed under the name uncultured bacterium. RNAcentral describes it as "partial 16S ribosomal RNA". It matches the Rfam family "Bacterial small subunit ribosomal RNA", at positions 338 to 795 of the family's 1533-position model. The record is from RNAcentral.